This 234-nucleotide ribosomal RNA is filed under the name uncultured bacterium. RNAcentral's name for it is "partial 16S ribosomal RNA". It matches the Rfam family "Bacterial small subunit ribosomal RNA", at positions 99 to 334 of the family's 1533-position model. The record is from RNAcentral.
CGGACGGGUGAGUAACACGUGGGUAACCUACCCAUCAGAGGGGGAGUAACACUUGGAAACAGGUGCUAAUACCGCAUAAUGUCUGCGGACCAAAGCGGGGGACCUCCGGGCCUCGCGCCAUCAGAUGAACCCAUAUGGGAUUAGCUAGUAGGUAAGGUAACGGCUUACCUAGGCGACGAUCCCUAGCUGGUCUGAGAGGAUGAUCAGCCACACUGGGACUGAGACACGGCCCAG